GCAACUCUCAGGUGGGCACCAUUGCCAUUCUGAGAGAACGAGGGAAGUGUUCAUGAACAAUACUGCAUCCUGGCUUCUCCUAAAAUGAUAUCAGCACAGACCAAACAGAAGCAUUACAUCAUCAGAACGAUCUCUCAUUGGAUGGUCAAUGAUGCAGCAACUUCUGUUCCCUAGCAACUUCCCAGGGUGUUUUAACUCCUUUUGCAGGCAUUGGGACAAGACAAUAUUCACUGGUAACGCAGCAUCUGAGAAGGUAGGCUUAACCUUCUCCAUCGUCACCAUGAUCACAAUGAA
Molecule: long non-coding RNA, 294 nt
Organism: Podarcis raffonei (Aeolian wall lizard)
Lineage: Eukaryota; Metazoa; Chordata; Lepidosauria; Squamata; Lacertidae
Exons: 3
Source: RefSeq, a predicted model, not a curated record